Molecule: ribosomal RNA, 332 nt
Filed under: uncultured eukaryote
Lineage: Eukaryota
Description: partial 18S ribosomal RNA
Rfam family: Eukaryotic small subunit ribosomal RNA
Source: RNAcentral
CCCUUAGAUGUCCUGGGCUGCACGCGCGCUACACUGGAAGUUACGGAUUGAGAUACUACCUUGUCCGAAAUGGUCCGGGUAAUCACCUAAAAGCUUGUCGUAAUUGGAAUGGAUUAUUGUAACUAGUAAUCCUGAACGAGGAAUUCCUAGUAAGUCCCAGUCAACAGCUGGUACUGAUUACGUCCCUGCCCUUUGUACACACCGCCCGUCGCUACUACUGAUUGGACGUUUAAGCAAGAUUUUUAAACACUGACAGUGUGUAGUUCACGCUAUACUACAGUGAGAAGAAGAAGAUCGAGCUUACUUGUCUAGAGGAAGUAAAAGUCGUAACA